This 497-nucleotide ribosomal RNA is filed under the name uncultured bacterium. RNAcentral describes it as "partial 16S ribosomal RNA". It matches the Rfam family "Bacterial small subunit ribosomal RNA", at positions 28 to 507 of the family's 1533-position model. The record is from RNAcentral.
GAUGAACGCUGGCGGCGUGCCUAAUACAUGCAAGUCGAGCGAACAGACGAGGAGCUUGCUCCUCUGACGUUAGCGGCGGACGGGGGAGUAACACGUGGAUAACCUACCUAUAAGACUGGGAUAACUUCGGGAAACCGGAGCUAAUACCGGAUAAUAUAUUGAACCGCAUGGUUCAAUAGUGAAAGACGGUUUUGCUGUCACUUAUAGGUGGAUCCGCGCCGCAUUAGCUAGUUGGUAAGGUAACGGCUUACCAAGGCAACGAUGCGUAGCCGACCUGAGAGGGUGGUCGGCCACACUGGAACUGAGACACGGUCCAGACUCCUACGGGAGGCAGCAGUAGGGAAUCUUCCGCAAUGGGCGGAAGCCUGACGGAGCAACGCCGCGUGAGUGAUGAAGGUCUUCGGAUCGUAAAACUCUGUUAUUAGGGAAGAACAAAUGUGUAAGUAACUAUGCACGUCUUGACGGUACCUAAUCAGAAAGCCACGGCUAACUACGUG